UGUGUGAGUGAGCGGCACGUG
This 21-nucleotide unclassified non-coding RNA is filed under the name Chlamydomonas reinhardtii. RNAcentral's name for it is "small RNA Cre_3630". Lineage: Eukaryota; Viridiplantae; Chlorophyta; Chlorophyceae; Chlamydomonadales; Chlamydomonadaceae. The record is from RNAcentral.